GACGAACGCUGGCGGCGUGCUUAACACAUGCAAGUCGAACGAAAAGAGGGAAAGAGCUUGCUCUUUCCGGAAUUGAGUGGCAAACGGGUGAGUAACACGUAAACAACCUGCCUUCAGGAUGGGGACAACAGACGGAAACGACUGCUAAUACCGAAUAAGUUCCAAGGGCCGCAUGGCCCAUGGAAGAAAAGGUGGCCUCUACCUGUAAGCUAUCGCCUGAAGAGGGGUUUGCGUCUGAUUAGCUGGUUGGAGGGGUAACGGCCCACCAAGGCGACGAUCAGUAGCCGGUCUGAGAGGAUGAACAGCCACACUGGAAUUGAGACACGGUCCAGACUCCUACGGGAGGCAGCAGUGGGGAAUCUUCCGCAAUGGGCGAAAGCCUGACGGAGCAACGCCGCGUGAGUGAUGACGGCCUUCGGGUUGUAAAACUCUGUGAUCCGGGACGAAAAGGCAGAGUGCGAAGAACAAACUGCAUUGACGGUACCGGAAAAGCAAGCCACGGCUAACUACGUG
RNAcentral lists this ribosomal RNA (513 nucleotides) under uncultured bacterium. RNAcentral's name for it is "partial 16S ribosomal RNA". It matches the Rfam family "Bacterial small subunit ribosomal RNA", at positions 28 to 507 of the family's 1533-position model. The record is from RNAcentral.